RNAcentral lists this ribosomal RNA (253 nucleotides) under uncultured bacterium. RNAcentral describes it as "partial 16S ribosomal RNA". It matches the Rfam family "Bacterial small subunit ribosomal RNA", at positions 524 to 776 of the family's 1533-position model. The record is from RNAcentral.
UACAGAGGGUGCGAGCGUUAAUCGGAAUUACUGGGCGUAAAGCGUGCGCAGGUGGUUGUGUAAGCUUGAUGUGAAAUCCCCGGGCUCAACCUGGGAAUGGCAUUGAGGACUGCACGGCUAGAGUGUGGCAGAGGGGGGUGGAAUUCCGCGUGUAGCAGUGAAAUGCGUAGAGAUGCGGAGGAACACCGAUGGCGAAGGCAGCCCCCUGGGCUAACACUGACACUCAUGCACGAAAGCGUGGGGAGCAAACAGG